UUGGAGGAAGCUAUUAAAGCAUCUCAUUGUUACUGAGAAGAUAGGAUUUCAAUCCCCUUCAAGAG
This 65-nucleotide transfer RNA is filed under the name Streptocephalus sirindhornae. Its description in RNAcentral is "tRNA-Asn". The record is from RNAcentral. Lineage: Eukaryota; Metazoa; Arthropoda; Branchiopoda; Anostraca; Streptocephalidae.